Molecule: ribosomal RNA, 426 nt
Filed under: uncultured bacterium
Lineage: Bacteria
Description: bacterial SSU rRNA
Rfam family: Bacterial small subunit ribosomal RNA
Source: RNAcentral
GUGGGGAAUAUUGCACAAUGGGGGAAACCCUGAUGCAGCAACGCCGCGUGAGUGAAGAAGUAUCUCGGUAUGUAAAGCUCUAUCAGCAGGGAAGAAAAAAGACGGUACCUGACUAAGAAGCCCCGGCUAACUACGUGCCAGCAGCCGCGGUAAUACGUAGGGGGCGAGCGUUAUCCGGAUUUACUGGGUGUAAAGGGAGCGUAGACGGCAUAGCAAGUCUGAAGUGAAAGCCCGCGGCUCAACCGCGGAACCGCUUUGGAAACUGUUAGGCUGGAGUGCUGGAGAGGCAAGCGGAAUUCCUAGUGUAGCGGUGAAAUGCGUAGAUAUUAGGAGGAACACCAGUGGCGAAGGCGGCUUGCUGGACAGUGACUGACGUUGAGGCUCGAAAGCGUGGGGAGCAAACAGGAUUAGAAACCCUAGUAGUCC